Molecule: long non-coding RNA, 478 nt
Organism: Rana temporaria (common frog)
Lineage: Eukaryota; Metazoa; Chordata; Amphibia; Anura; Ranidae
Exons: 3
Source: RefSeq, a predicted model, not a curated record
AAUGCCGUGAACAGAAUUGUAUCCCAUAUUCAAGGUGUGGCCUUACAAGUGAUUUACAUAGAGGGUUUGGAAGGAAGAUUGUAUCUAGGGGAUCAAAUCAAUUAAUUCACAGUGACUGCUUCCGCCUGCAUAUAUCGGACAAGGACAGGACUCUCCUUAUAAUUUUCUGCGUGAGAACAAAAAGAAAAAAAAAAGAAAAAAAAGAGAGAAGAGACAAAAGUGCGAAAAGGAAAACACAGAAAAAAGGAGAGAGAAACAGAGAGAGAAAGAGAGAGGAGAAGUGGACUCAGCUUUCUGACAAAAAAGGAAACCACAAGUCAAUAGAGCCAUGCACCAAAAAAGUGGAAGAGCCUUUCCUACUCCACAGCAGCAACUUCCUGGAGCACACCAAUCCCGUUCAUGUUCAGUCAUGGAAGUCUUUUUUUAAAUAUAUAUAUAUUCCUCAGCAAAGUGCAAAAUGUUUUUUUUGUCAUUUUUU